Molecule: ribosomal RNA, 253 nt
Filed under: uncultured bacterium
Lineage: Bacteria
Description: partial 16S ribosomal RNA
Rfam family: Bacterial small subunit ribosomal RNA
Source: RNAcentral
UACGUAGGGUGCAAGCGUUAAUCGGAAUUACUGGGCGUAAAGCGUGCGCAGGCGGCUUUGCAAGACAGAUGUGAAAUCCCCGGGCUUAACCUGGGAACUGCAUUUGUGACUGCAUGGCUGGAGUGCGGCAGAGGGGGAUGGAAUUCCGCGUGUAGCAGUGAAAUGCGUAGAUAUGCGGAGGAACACCGAUGGCGAAGGCAAUCCCCUGGGCCUGCACUGACGCUCAUGCACGAAAGCGUGGAGAGCAAACAGG